RNAcentral lists this ribosomal RNA (420 nucleotides) under uncultured bacterium. RNAcentral describes it as "partial 16S ribosomal RNA". It matches the Rfam family "Bacterial small subunit ribosomal RNA", at positions 361 to 773 of the family's 1533-position model. The record is from RNAcentral.
AUAUUGCACAAUGGGCGCAAGCCUGAUGCAGCCAUGCCGCGUGUAUGAAGAAGGCCUUCGGGUUGUAAAGUACUUUCAGCGGGGAGGAAGGCGGUGGAGUUAAGAACUUCACCGAUAGACGUUAUCCGCAGAAGAAGCACCGGCUAACUCCGUCCCAGCAGCCGCGGUAAUACGGAGGGUGCAAGCGUUAAUCGGAAUUACCGGGCGUAAAGCGCACGCAGGCGGUCUGUCAAGUCGGAUGUGAAAUCCCCGGGCUUAACCUGGGAACUGCAUUCGAAACUGGCAGGCUGGAGUCUUGUAGAGGGGGGUAGAAUUCCAGGUGUAGCGGUGAAAUGCGUAGAGAUCUGGAGGAAUACCGGUGGCGAAGGCGGCCCCCUGGACAAAGACUGACGCUCAGGUGCGAAAGCGUGGGGAGCAAAC